CAAUAGCGUAUAUUUAAGUUGCUGCAGUUAAAAAGCUCGUAGUUGGAUUUCGGGUGGGAAUGGCCGGUCCGCCGUUUCGGUGUGCACUUGCUACGCCCCCCUUGCUGCCGGGGACGUGCUCUUGAGUUCACGCUCGGGACACGGAGUCGGCGAGGUUACUUUGAGUAAAUUAGAGUGUUCAAAGCAGGCCUACGCUCUGAAUACAUUAGCAUGGAAUAACACGAUAGGACUCUGGCCUAUCUUGUUGGUCUGUAGGACCGGAGUAAUGAUUAAGAGGGACAGUCGGGGGCAUUCGUAUUUCAUUGUCAGAGGUGAAAUUCUUGGAUUUAUGAAAGACGAACUACUGCGAAAGCAUUUGCCAAGGAUGUUUUCAUUAA
Molecule: ribosomal RNA, 377 nt
Filed under: uncultured eukaryote
Lineage: Eukaryota
Description: partial 18S ribosomal RNA
Rfam family: Eukaryotic small subunit ribosomal RNA
Source: RNAcentral